Molecule: ribozyme, 81 nt
Filed under: unclassified sequences
Description: HDV ribozyme from F. prausnitzii
Rfam family: HDV ribozyme from F. prausnitzii
Source: RNAcentral
GCCGCUCGAAACUUUGCACACCUCUCCGUGGUGGGCGGCAGGCAACGAUCUUAUUGCAGUAUGGUCGGCUGAGAUGCAGGA